AUUGAACGCUGGCGGCAGGCCUAACACAUGCAAGUCGGACGGUAGCACAGAGGAGCUUGCUCCUCGGGUGACGAGUGGCGGACGGGUGAGUAAUGUCUGGGGAUCUGCCCGAUAGAGGGGGAUAACCACUGGAAACGGUGGCUAAUACCGCAUAACGUCGCAAGACCAAAGAGGGGGACCUUCGGGCCUCUCACUAUCGGAUGAACCCAGAUGGGAUUAGCUAGUAGGCGGGGUAACGGCCCACCUAGGCGACGAUCCCUAGCUGGUCUGAGAGGAUGCCCAGCCACACUGGAACUGAGGCACGGUCCAGACGCCUACGGGAGGCAGCAGUGGGGAAUAGUGCACAAUGGGCGCAAGCCUGAUGCAGCCAUGCCGCGUGUAUGAAGAAGGCCUUCGGGUUGUAAAGUACUUUCAGCGGGGAGGAAGGCGAUGUGGUUAAUAACCGCGUCGAUUGACGUUACCCGCAGAAGAAGCACCGGCUAACUCCGUGCCAGCAGCCGCCGUAA
RNAcentral lists this ribosomal RNA (506 nucleotides) under uncultured bacterium. Its description in RNAcentral is "partial 16S ribosomal RNA". It matches the Rfam family "Bacterial small subunit ribosomal RNA", at positions 29 to 523 of the family's 1533-position model. The record is from RNAcentral.